Molecule: long non-coding RNA, 1378 nt
Filed under: Helianthus annuus (common sunflower)
Lineage: Eukaryota; Viridiplantae; Streptophyta; Magnoliopsida; Asterales; Asteraceae
Description: hypothetical non coding rna
Source: RNAcentral
AAAGAACUAGAGAAAAAAGACGAACUAGGAGAUUGAGCUUGGUAAAUUUGGCGAUCAAAACAUCAAUCGGAAAUCACGGUUCAGAGGCUUUAUAUAGCGGCACAAUCUCAAGAUCUCGGAUUCUACAACGUUUAAGGGUUUAUUCAUGCUAUUGUUAGUUAAGAUUGCUAGACAUGAAGCCGGUGAGGAACGGGUAGAGAAACUUUCACAGGACGUUUAUGUUAUUAAUUAUAUGUAAAGGUUCGUUUAUGAUUCUGUUGCUAUGAACGGCGAGUAACACCCAACUUUUUUUUUUUGACAAUUAAAUCAUUUUUUAAAUGGUUUUAUGGUUUAAAUAUAUGACUGGGAGAUUCCGCUGCGAAAGAAAUUAUUGAAAUCUAAUAUUUUUAUUAAAGAAAAAUGCGGGGUGUUACAAUUUUCUAGCCUUUCUAGCUAAAUAAACUUCCUAUUAUAUCCUGACACUAUAUAAUAUAUUUAAACCAUCCUCCCAUUUUAUAUAAACAAAAGUGAAGACAUAACAACCAUGGUAACGAUAAAGGUCCAAAUUUAUGAAACAUAACAAAGUGAAAUUUCAUAAAGACAUUAUUGACAAAAGUUGCGGGUGUAAGUUUUCGUAAAUCAUUGUUUAAAAGUAGUUUGUCAUUACAACCAAAGGCUAAAAACAAGUUUGGUUAUAUUUGCAAUCCAAUUUGGCGUAACUUUUCAUAUACGACUCUUUAGAUGUAUCAUGUGAAAGCAUGGUUAUGAAAAUCUCGACUAAUCUUCGAUUAAUCACUAAUUAAUCAUUAAUCGGAUGUUCACCAAUUAAUGACUAAUUAAUCGCUAGGCGGUCAAUAGCGGUUCUAUUCUGACUAAAUUUUGGCUAGAUAAAUGUCAUAUGUUUAAUCCAUUUACAAUUUAAUACUUUUAUAACACAUGUUAUAGCAUAAGUUUUAUUUCUUUUAUCUACUUAUGUUAUUUUUUAUCUUUGUUGUUGCAUGAACAUAAUAUUGGGCUAUGGGCUGAGAGUUUACAGGGUUCAAGUCUGGGCCAGGACACGGCCCGACGCAUCCUCCAAGUGCUAAUGGGCUGAUGGAUGGCUGGAAGAAGCUGGGCCUGACAGGAUGAAUCUGGGCCUGAACUAAUGCAUGUUAUAUAACAUGUGGUCAUCAUAAUUCAGUGGUGGGUUUUUUUUUACUUUUUUUUGUUCUCUCUCAUUUUUGAAACCUUCUAACAGAGAGUUACACUUUCUCUCUCUUAGGGUUUAUUUUUUUGAUAUUUCUUGAUGAUCUCAUUUAGUUAGAUCUAGUUUUGAGUGUAUGCGCAGAUCGUCAUAUUGAUGACCUGCUGUAAGAUUAAAUAUAUUUAUUUUAUAUUUAAUCUAGUAGCCAUUAUAAUC